CCUACGGGGGGCUGCAGUGAGGAAUAUUGGUCAAUGGACGCAAGUCUGAACCAGCCAAGUAGCGUGCAGGAUGACGGCCCUCCGGGUUGUAAACUGCUUUUAGUUGGGAAUAAAAGGGGGCUCGUGAGCCCCGUAUUGUAUGUACCAUCAGAAAAAGGACCGGCUAAUUCCGUGCCAGCAGCCGCGGUAAUACGGAAGGUCCGGGCGUUAUCCGGAUUUAUUGGGUUUAAAGGGAGCGUAGGCCGGCUUUUAAGUCAGCGGUAAAAUGUCCGGGCUCAACCCGGGCCGGCCGUUGAAACUGGGGAUCUUGAGGGGGCGAGAAGUAUGCGGAAUGCGUGGUGUAGCGGUGAAAUGCAUAGAGAUCACGCAGAACUCCGAUUGCGAAGGCAGCAUACCGGCGCCCGACUGACGCUGAGGCACGAAAGCGUGGGGAUCGAACAGGAUUAGAUACCCGGGUAGUC
Molecule: ribosomal RNA, 461 nt
Filed under: uncultured bacterium
Lineage: Bacteria
Description: partial 16S ribosomal RNA
Rfam family: Bacterial small subunit ribosomal RNA
Source: RNAcentral